GUGCGCGCGCGCGUGUCUCUGUGUGUGCUUUCUUGUUCUCUUCCAGGGUACAAUGUUAAAAAGCCACCGCUAGUCGCCCCCAGUGCUCCGACUCUCUGGGUCUUUUUGUCUCUAGUGCAGAUUAAACGUCACGUCCGCACUUGAACUUGAAUUUUAUCCCAUUGUACAGAGGCAGCCCCAGCCAUAGAGAGACCGAGAGCUCCCGGAGAACCCGGACUCCGCCAUCUUCACGGUGCAAUCUAUAGCUCCCCGUCCGCGCCCGCACCGACCCAGGCGCGCUGGGCAGCGGCCCUGAGCCCGCUCGCCCUGGGCCCGCGGCGCCGGGGGAGCGCGGGGAGCGCUCGGGGACUCGGCACCCUCCGGCCGGCGCCAGCCCGCCAGGUGACCUGGGAAGCAGCCGCUCUUGGAGUCCCCCGAGCCUCGGAAGGAAAACAGCAUAGAAGAAAAAGCAAAAUAAAGAAGAAGAGGAGGAAGAGAGGGCAAGAGGAAGGGGGGGAAAAAGCA
Molecule: long non-coding RNA, 504 nt
Filed under: Chinchilla lanigera (long-tailed chinchilla)
Lineage: Eukaryota; Metazoa; Chordata; Mammalia; Rodentia; Chinchillidae
Description: lncRNA (ENSCLAG00000023225.1)
Source: RNAcentral